GCCAUUGAGUACCAUAGAUAUGAAUUAGCAACAAAGAGAAGAUAUAUAAUCAAAGAUGAUUGAUACCAUUACAAAGAGUAGAUAUAUAAUUAAAAGAUGAUUGAUACCACAGUUGUUUCAAUACAUAUUCCAUAAUAUAAAAGUCAACCAGUUAAUAUCAUUACAUGGCCCAAAAGGUAGAUCCUAGAAAGAACAGCAGACAAGGCUAGCUACAAGGAUCUAGUAGAGCUCAUGACUAGAUGGAUCAGAAUCAGAUGUAUCAGAGAUGGGGUGGGGAGAUGAUGGAUCACGACCAAGGACUCGUCCUCUACCCCGUCUGCCUCUGCCAUGAGUGGAGGUGCUGGCACGAGUAGGUGGGCGAGAUGAUCCUAAAGGCUGAGAGGCCAUAGACUGGACUGCAAGAGAGAGCCUGAUGGAAUCAAAAAUGUUCAGAGCUCUCGAAACAGACUGAAGUAGUGCAGUGAACUGUGUAGAAGCAUGCUCACUUGAGCCUCUGAUCUCUCUCCUCAAGAAAUCAAAACCACCCUCCAAAACACCUCUGAGUCUGCCAGCCUCCGCAGUUAGGUUUGUGACCUCAAUAGUGCACUCCUGUGACUGAGGAUGGGCCAAAGCUAAGACUUGCCCCUGCAAGUCAAGUACUCUCCCAGUCAGUCUCAAAAUGUAAUCCUCGAGCUGCUGAAUCCGAACUGACUAAUCUGUGAUCAUCUGAAAUACAGUGAAGAUAUGGGGGAUCAAGGUCUGAUUAGAUGCAUCUAAUGAUGUGGAUCCCGAUGCAAACGCAGAAGUGCUCCACUGACGAGAAAGCAAGGAAGCCACACGUUGAGAAAUCUGCUCAAUCUGAUCAUCAGCCAAUCUGAACUCUGAGGGAGGUGCUCUGCUGUCUGGCUGCUGAACUGGUGUGUGCCUCCUGGUGGACUCUGAAGGGCCAGCCUCUGGAUCUGAAACAAACUGGAUAUCUGGAGAUGCUGCCCUGAAAUCAUGGAGAGGUGAUGAGG
This 995-nucleotide long non-coding RNA is filed under the name Elaeis guineensis (African oil palm). RNAcentral describes it as "long non-coding RNA (EGUI_LNC064371)". Lineage: Eukaryota; Viridiplantae; Streptophyta; Magnoliopsida; Arecales; Arecaceae. The record is from RNAcentral.